Molecule: long non-coding RNA, 2897 nt
Organism: Rattus norvegicus (Norway rat)
Lineage: Eukaryota; Metazoa; Chordata; Mammalia; Rodentia; Muridae
Source: RefSeq, a predicted model, not a curated record
GCUGAGCGGCUAUGGAAGGAAGACAUGGGGUACCGAGAUAGCUAAAAAAUUCUAUGGAAAUGCAUGAGCAGCGCUGCUAGACCAGGGAGGGUGAGUAACCUAAACCACAUGGACCCACACAGAGGCAAUGAGAACAGAUGAACACGGACAGAGAACACAAAGCUAAGAAGGCAAACAAGCAUCGGCUGGAUCAGCCUAUGGACUGCCGCCCACGCUGCGCCAUGGCCGAGCUCAGUGACAAGUGACAAGUGGAGACAACCAAGAAACGGGCUGCUGGCCAGAACAAGCAGCAUCCCAUCACUAAAAACACAGCCAAGGUAGACCGAGAGACAGAGUUGCUGCAUCACGGCAGAGUGACCCUGGAGGUGGGCAAAGUGAUCCUAUGGGGCCCUGGUAGAGCAAAGGCCUGACGCAGAAGGACCUGGCCACAAAAAUCAAUAAAAAGCUGCAAGUCAUCUCAGCCUAUGAAAGUGUACAGGCCAUUCUGAAUAACCCAAAUUUGGGCAAAACUGAAAGAACCAUCAGCCUCAAGUUCCGGAGGAAGGACAUCAGGAAAUCUAUCGAAGGGGGCCGAAGGCAAAAUGAACACAAAGCCUCGAAACCAAUGGUUCUAGCUGAGCUCUUCUGGCUGCUCCCCCAGGACUACCAGCACUGCUGUGGGUCUCCUCCCAUGGUCAAAUGGAACAUAGGGUCAGGCUUGUGUGCCCCCCCAACCCACAGCUGCUGCUAAACAAAGCAAAACCUUGAAAAGUGAAAAGGAGGGAGAGAAGGAGGAAGGAGAAGGAGGAAAAGAGGGAGGAGGAAGAGGAAGAGGAGGAGGAGGAGGAGGAGGAGGAGGAAGAGGAGGAGGAGGAGGAAGAGGAGGAGGACAAUGACUACAAUGAUGAUGACUACGAAGAUGAAAACAGGGACCACUGCAAACUGAGGCUGCCAGCCAUGAGACAGGUUCUGGGGAUCAAACUCAGUCAUCAGUCUUGAGCAACAAGCACCUUUACCUGCUGAGCCACACAGUCCGGCCAUGUUUAUCGGCUUUAGCCCUGAGAGAAAUGCAAAUGCGUACACUGAAGUUGUCUCCCGAUUGCCUCUCCUCCCAGUCAGAAUGCUCCUCAUCAGAGAAACAAAAAAUAGCAGCUGUCAGCAAAGGGCACAGUUGGGACAAGGUCAGCAGAAAUUAUCAUAUAAUGGGACCAACUCAACCUGGUGAAAGCUAACCAAAAAGACUGAGAACAAAGCAGCCCCAGGACUGAUGACCACAAUCCCUCAUGGUGGGGAGAGCUGGGUGCUCCAGAGCUGCAGCCACUGCUCCCCCAAGGCCCUGGCUCCAGGCCAUUACCAGCUCUGCCAAGCAUGCUACUGGCUUUGGAUGCUCACUCUCUGUACAGCGAGGCUACAGGAAAAGCCUCAGUGAUCAGACUUGCCCUCCAACAGCUAUGACGGGCUGCUCAGUCCUCAAGAAUUCCCAAUAGGCUGAGCAAUCGUGCUCAGAGGGAGAGAUACGAUUGCAGAAGGGAAGAGGGGUCUGCCACGUGACCAGAGAAGAAGGGAAGAGAGAUGUCAUAGGACUAGAGAUAGAGCCAAAGUGCGGGUGAGUGGAGACCAUGAAGUGGGUGGGGAGAGGCAAUCAAACAAUGGAAAACACGUGACUUCUGUGCUGUGUGGUGCCCCUGUGGACACAGUAGCCAAGAAAGGGCGAGAUCAUUUUUCUUUUAAAUGCUGGCUCCUCCAUGCUCUGCACAACAUGCACCACACUAUGGAACUUUUUCCAAGUCAAGAAAUUGUUCUUUAAUCAUACUUUGUGUCUUGUUUUGCUUUUUCUUGGUGCUAGGGAUCAAACGCAGGCCCUCACAUAUUCUAGUCCCAAACAUGUUUGGAGUUAUAACCCCCAACCUAGGCACCAAUAUGUGCAAGUAUUAACAUUUACACCUAAACAGUUACAAAUGUUUCACUCUUCUUAGGGGUGAAAAACACUUGAUCAUCUCCCAGAAGUCAUUUCCAAGCAUCCUGUAUCCAUGUUUCUUUGAAGAAAAUAGAAAACUUUUGCCGAGAAGUUAAUAGAGCAGAGCCUGAGCCUGCUGCUCUUUAAAGGGUCCUUAAAGGGCAAACUUGCUGAGGGUGUAGGAACAUAAGAACCCUUCCUUCUUCACUGUUAGUAGGAAUGCUAGCCAGUGCAGCCACUGUGGAAAUCAGUAUGGAGGCUCCCCCACAAAAACACCCCCCAAAAAACCCAACAAAAACAAACAAACAAACAAAAACAGGGCUGGAGAAAAGGCUCAGCAGUUAAGAACACUGGUUGCUCUCCCAAAGGGCCAGAGUUCAACCUGAAGAAUCUACGUGGUGUUUCACAAGCAUUUGUAACUUCCAGCCAAUCCAAAACUCUUCUGGCCUCUGUGCACACAAGGAGUGCACAUGGUGCACAGACAGAACACUCAUACACAUAAAAUAAAAGUUGUUUUAAAUACUACACAUAGAACUACCAUACUCUAGCUAUGCCUCCUGGGCUUAUACCCUAAGGACUCUCUAUCCUGCCACAGAGACGCUUUCAGAUCCUUACAGCUCUACGCACAACAGAUAGAAAAUGAAAUCUAGAGAAUACAUUAAGUGAGGAGACUCAGGUACAGGAGACACUGUGUGUUCUCUUUCACAUAUGGAUUCUAGCUUCUCACUUUUCUAUGUUUAUUGGGAGUGAGUGGAGUGUGGGUGAAGGCCAGGAAAUACUAAAGAGGCCUGGGAGGAAGAGGGAGAAGAGGUGACGGGGUAAAGGAAGUCAAGGGAGAUAAGGAAACUGCAGGGUUUAAACCAAGAGAGGGGUGCAGGGAGGCUUGACCAAACUCAAAUGUAAAAAAUACCACAAGGAAAUGUGUUAUACUGUGUGCAAAUUAAAAAGUAAACAAAAGGCA